GAGUACGGCCAUACUACCGGGAAUACACCUGAACCCGUUCGAUUUCAGAAGUUAAGCCGGGUUAGGCCCAGUUAGUACUGAGUGGGCGACCACUUGGGAACACUGGGUGCUGUACGCU
This 118-nucleotide ribosomal RNA is filed under the name Euglena gracilis. Lineage: Eukaryota; Euglenozoa; Euglenophyceae; Euglenales; Euglenaceae. The record is from RNAcentral.